This 404-nucleotide ribosomal RNA is filed under the name Isochrysis sp. MBTD-CMFRI-S001. RNAcentral describes it as "SSU rRNA". It matches the Rfam family "Eukaryotic small subunit ribosomal RNA", at positions 437 to 846 of the family's 1831-position model. Lineage: Eukaryota; Haptophyta; Isochrysidales; Isochrysidaceae. The record is from RNAcentral.
UAAAUUGCCCGAAUCCUGACACAGGGAGGUAGUGACAAGAAAUAACAAUACAGGGCUCUUCGAGUCUUGUAAUUGGAAUGAGUACAAUUUACAUCUCUUCACGAGGAUCAAUUGGAGGGCAAGUCUGGUGCCAGCAGCCGCGGUAAUUCCAGCUCCAAUAGCGUAUAUUAAAGUUGUUGCAGUUAAAACGCUCGUAGUCGGAUUUCGGGGCGGGCCCGCCGGUCUGCCGAUGGGUACGCACUGGCGGGCGCGUCCUUCCUCCCGGAGACGGCCGCUACUCUUAACUGAGCGGUGGUCGGAGACGGGAUGUUUACUUUGAAAAAAUCAGAGUGUUUCAAGCAGGCAGUCGCUCUUGCAUGGAUUAGCAUGGGAUAAUGAAAUAGGACUCUGGUGCUAUUUUGUUG